CAAUAAGCGGAGGAAAAGAAACUAACAAGGAUUCCCCUAGUAACUGCGAGUGAAGCGGGAAAAGCUCAAAUUUAAAAUCUGGCGGUCUCCGGCCGUCCGAGUUGUAAUCUAGAGAAGUGUUAUCCGCGCUGGACCGUGUACAAGUCUCCUGGAAUGGAGCGUCAUAGAGGGUGAGAAUCCCGUCUUUGACACGGACUGCCAGGGCUUUGUGAUGCGCUCUCAAAGAGUCGAGUUGUUUGGGAAUGCAGCUCAAAAUGGGUGGUAAAUUCCAUCUAAAGCUAAAUAUUGGCGAGAGACCGAUAGCGAACAAGUACCGUGAGGGAAAGAUGAAAAGAACUUUGGAAAGAGAGUUAAACAGUACGUGAAAUUGCUGAAAGGGAAACGCUUGAAGUCAGUCGCGUUGGCCGGGGAUCAACCUUGCUUUUGCUGGGUGUACUUUCCAGUCGACGGGUCAGCAUCAAUUUUGACCGUUGGAUAAAGUUCAGGGGAAUGUGGCAUCUUCGGAUGUGUUAUAGCCCUUGGUCGCAUACAACGAUUGGGAUUGAGGAACUCAGCACGCCGCAAGGCCGGGUACUUGUACCACGUUCGUGCUUAGGAUGCUGGCAUAAUGGCUUUAAUCGACCCGUCUUGAAACACGGACCAAGGAGUCUAACAUGCCUGCGAGUGUUUGGGUGGAAAACCCGGGCGCGUAAUGAAAGUGAAAGUUGAGAUCCCUGUCGCGGGGAGCAUCGACGCCCGGACCAGACCUUUUGUGACGGAUCCGCGGUAGAGCAUGUAUGUUGGGACCCGAAAGAUGGUGAACUAUGCCUGAAUAGGGUGAAGCCAGAGGAAACUCUGGUGGAGGCUCGUAGCGAUUCUGACGUGCAAAUCGAUCGUCAAAUUUGGGUAUAGGGGCGAAAGACUAAUCGAACCAUCUAGUAGCUGGUUCCUGC
RNAcentral lists this non-coding RNA (932 nucleotides) under Alnicola citrinella. RNAcentral's name for it is "partial 28S ribosomal RNA". It matches the Rfam family "Eukaryotic large subunit ribosomal RNA", at positions 44 to 961 of the family's 3401-position model. The record is from RNAcentral. Lineage: Eukaryota; Fungi; Basidiomycota; Agaricomycetes; Agaricales; Hymenogastraceae.